GAUGAACGCUGGCGGCGUGCUUAACACAUGCAAGUCGAACGGAAAGGCCCAAGCUUGCUUGGGUGCUCGAGUGGCGAACGGGUGAGUAACACGUGGGUGAUCUGCCCUGCACUUUAGGAUAAGCCUGGGAAACUGGGUCUAAUACCGGAUAGGACCAUCGUUUAGUGUCGGUGGUGGAAAGUUUUUCGGUGUGGGAUGAGCUCGCGGCCUAUCAGCUUGUUGGUGGGGUAAUGGCCUACCAAGGCGUCGACGGGUAGCCGGCCUGAGAGGGUGUACGGCCACAUUGGGACUGAGAUACGGCCCAGACUCCUACGGGAGGCAGCAGUGGGGAAUAUUGCACAAUGGGCGCAAGCCUGAUGCAGCGACGCCGCGUGGGGGAUGACGGCCUUCGGGUUGUAAACUCCUUUCGCCAAGGACGAAGCGUUUUGUGACGGUACUUGGAGAAGAAGCACCGGCUAACUACGUG
This 466-nucleotide ribosomal RNA is filed under the name uncultured bacterium. RNAcentral describes it as "partial 16S ribosomal RNA". It matches the Rfam family "Bacterial small subunit ribosomal RNA", at positions 28 to 507 of the family's 1533-position model. The record is from RNAcentral.